CCUACGGGAGGCAGCAGUGGGGAAUUUUGGACAAUGGGGGCAACCCUGAUCCAGCCAUUCCGCGUGAGUGAAGAAGGCCUUCGGGUUGUAAAGCUCUUUUGUCCGGAACGAAACGGUACGGGUGAAUAUCCCGUGCUACUGACGGUACCGGAAGAAUAAGCACCGGCUAACUACGUGCCAGCAGCCGCGGUAAUACGUAGGGUGCGAGCGUUAAUCGGAAUUACUGGGCGUAAAGCGUGCGCAGGCGGUUUUGUAAGCCAGACGUGAAAUCCCCGGGCUUAACCUGGGAAUGGCGUUUGGGACUGCAAGGCUUGAGUAUGGCAGAGGGGACUAGAAUUCCUGGUGUAGCAGUGAAAUGCGUAGAUAUCAGGAGGAAUACCGAUGGCGAAGGCAGGUCCCUGGGUUAAUACUGACGCUCAUGCACGAAAGCGUGGGGAGCAAACAGGAUUAGAUACCCUGGUAGUCCACGCCCUAAACUAUGUCAACUGGUUGUUGGGGGUUUGACACUCUCAGUAACGAAGCUAACGCGUGAAGUUGACCGCCUGGGGAGUACGGCCGCAAGGUUAAAACUCAAAGGAAUUGACGG
RNAcentral lists this ribosomal RNA (586 nucleotides) under uncultured bacterium. RNAcentral's name for it is "bacterial SSU rRNA". It matches the Rfam family "Bacterial small subunit ribosomal RNA", at positions 338 to 916 of the family's 1533-position model. The record is from RNAcentral.